This 413-nucleotide ribosomal RNA is filed under the name uncultured bacterium. Its description in RNAcentral is "bacterial SSU rRNA". It matches the Rfam family "Bacterial small subunit ribosomal RNA", at positions 362 to 775 of the family's 1533-position model. The record is from RNAcentral.
UAUUGCACAAUGGGCGCAAGCCUGAUGCAGCGACGCCGCGUGGGGGAUGACGGCCUUCGGGUUGUAAACCUCUUUCGCUAGGGACGAAGCCAUCCUUUGGGGGUGGUGACGGUACCUGGGUAAGAAGCACCGGCUAACUACGUGCCAGCAGCCGCGGUAAUACGUAGGGUGCGAGCGUUGUCCGGAAUUACUGGGCGUAAAGAGCUCGUAGGUGGUUUGUCGCGUCGUCUGUGAAAUUCCGGGGCUUAACUCCGGGCGUGCAGGCGAUACGGGCAAUACUUGAGUGCUGUAGGGGAGACUGGAAUUCCUGGUGUAGCGGUGAAAUGCGCAGAUAUCAGGAGGAACACCAAUGGCGAAGGCAGGUCUCUGGGCAGUAACUGACGCUGAGGAGCGAAAGCAUGGGUAGCGAACAG